This 111-nucleotide ribosomal RNA is filed under the name bovine gut metagenome. The record is from RNAcentral.
GGUGCCAAUGGCGAUGAGGGUCCACCCGUUCCCAUUCCGAACACGGCAGUUAAGCUCAUCCGCGCUGAAAAUACUUGGAGGGCAGCCUCCUGGGAAGAUAAGGCGGCGCCG